CCUACGGGGGGCUGCAGUGAGGAAUAUUGGUCAAUGGACGAGAGUCUGAACCAGCCAAGUAGCGUGAAGGAUGACUGCCCUAUGGGUUGUAAACUUCUUUUAUAUGGGAAUAAAAUGUUCCACGUGUGGGCUUUUGUAUGUACCAUAUGAAAAAGGAUCGGCUAACUCCGUGCCAGCAGCCGCGGUAAGACGGAGGAUCCGAGCGUUAUCCGGAUUUAUUGGGUUUAAAGGGAGCGUAGGUGGAUUGUUAAGUCAGUUGUGAAAGUUUGCGGCUCAACCGUAAAAGUGCAGUUGAAACUGGCAGUCUUGAGUACAGUAGAGGUGGGCGGAAUUCGUGGUGUAGCGGUGAAAUGCUUAGAUAUCACGAAGAACUCCGAUUGCGAAGGCAGCUCACUGGACUGCAACUGACACUGAGGCUCGAAAGUGUGGGUAUCAAACAGGAUUAGAUACCCCAGUAGUC
RNAcentral lists this ribosomal RNA (460 nucleotides) under uncultured bacterium. RNAcentral describes it as "partial 16S ribosomal RNA". It matches the Rfam family "Bacterial small subunit ribosomal RNA", at positions 338 to 795 of the family's 1533-position model. The record is from RNAcentral.